RNAcentral lists this long non-coding RNA (1162 nucleotides) under Numida meleagris (helmeted guineafowl). Its description in RNAcentral is "lncRNA (ENSNMEG00000006466.1)". Lineage: Eukaryota; Metazoa; Chordata; Aves; Galliformes; Numididae. The record is from RNAcentral.
AUGGGGUUGCUCAAGUGCAUGCCUGUGUGUACAGGGUGGCGUGCAAGGAUGGUGGUGCACACGUGUGCAAGGAUGUGCAAGGGUGUAGGGUUGCACACUUGUGUGGGGGAUUUGUGCAAGGAUGGGGGUGCUCAAGGGGUGCACAAGCGCACGUGUAUGUGUGCACAGGGUGCUGUGCAAGGAUGUGGGUGCUCGAGUGUGUGUGCAUGGGUGUGCAUGGACGUGCAAAGGAGUGGGGUUGGUGCAGAGGGUUGUGCACAGGGGUGGGAUGCACAGGGGUGUGAGUGCACGCGGGGAGCACUUGUGUGUGCACACGACUGUGCAAAGGCUGCUGUUGCACCGAUGGGGGUGCACAAGUCUGCGAGCGCAUGGGUGUGCAAAGCGGUGGGGUUCCUCAAGUGUGUGUUUGUGCAAGGGAGCGUGCAAGGAGGCGUUUGCACGUGGGUGUGUGAAAGAGCAAGGGGGCGUUUGCACGAGGGUGUGGGGUUUACACACGUGGGCGCGUUGCACAUGGGGCUGUGGGUGUGCUCAUGGGUGUGAGCUAGGACGUGUUUGCACGAGGGUGGGUGCAGGUGCACAGAUGCACGUGUGUGCGAGUUAACCUAAGUGUGCAAGAGUGUGGUUGCACUGUUGGCGUACAAAGCUGGCGUUGCACACGGGUGUGCACAUACACGGUGGCAUUUGCACAUUGGUGUGCAAGCUGACCACAAGGGCUUGUGCAAGGGCAGGGUGGCUUCAGGGGGUGAGCGUGCAACCAGAUGUGUGCGAGGAGCGCUUUGCACACCGGUGUGGAAAAGUGUUGCGUUGCGCGGGGGUGUGCAUGUGCUCAGCUUUGCACAUGCGAGUGCAACAGGACGGUGUUGCACACGUGUGAUUGCAUUCACAAGGGCUCACAUGCACACGUGCGUGCUUGCACAAGAGGGUGUGUAAUGCCAGCCUUGCACGCGGGUGUGUAAAUUGCAUUGCACAAGCAGGGGGUAGGGCAAGGAGGUGUCACCAUGUAACUUUUGCACGGGGAGGGGCGUGGAAAGGAGAAGCGUUUGCACGCUGCUUUGCACGAGGGUGUGCAUCAGCGUGCAGAGCUCAGCGUGAGCGUGUCAGGCCCAGGGUUGCACACGCGUUGCAGAGGCUUUGCACGGCCAGGUGUCGUGCGUCACACGUG